RNAcentral lists this long non-coding RNA (7378 nucleotides) under Setaria viridis. RNAcentral's name for it is "long non-coding RNA (SVIR_LNC002502)". Lineage: Eukaryota; Viridiplantae; Streptophyta; Magnoliopsida; Poales; Poaceae. The record is from RNAcentral.
AUAAAGCAUCCCUUCCCGUGCCCUAGUCUCCCAAUGCCAUCCACAGCAUGUCACCUUUCUCCUUAAGAUUUGGGGACAACUUGCCCCUAGCAAGCGCCUUGUCGCUUAAGUGACCACUAGGCGUGUUCAGUCUAACCAUUGAAAUAAACAGAGCAAACAGUAAAACCAACUUUUAAUGGUACACAAAGGCAUAUCAACAUAACAUGCAUAAUUUUGCAGGACUUAAUGCGCUAGCAUAGCAAAGCUUGACAGACUGCAGUCACAAGGCAACUAACAAGUUUACCUUUAUGAGAGCCAUGUUCUCUGACUCUUGCUUCUUUGCAAGGUUUUUCAGUUUCUUCAUUGUCUCACACUCGUCAUCUCCUUGUUUUACCCAGCGGAACUCUUUCUUGAGGCCAGGGCAGGGAGGUCGAUCCCUGAACAUCUCAGCCUUUGCAUGGGUAGCUUUUACAGGCCUUGGCAUCCCACCAAUUAUGAAUGGGAAAUCAGUCAUCAACUCGACAGCAGCCUUGGCCUGCAUAUCAUCAUCCAGUUCUACCAAUGCAGCAGAAGGUACAUCAUAAGGGAUUGUGUAGUUGACGAUGAACUCCACAUUGACAACAUUUGCACACUGGGCAAGAGCUGCUUUGAUGACUGGGGUGGUAACUUGUGGAGAAAGCUGGUCCAAAUAUAUGGUCCUCCUAACCUUCUCCUUGAAAUCAGCAUAGUCCUUGGAAGCCUGUUCUUGUGAUGCCUCCAUAGAAGGUCAACCUGUGCAGGAAUAAGAAUAAGGUUCAAUGCUUACUUGCCCCAAUUUGUAAUUAUUUUGUGCAAGGAGUACACAAGGAUUUAGGAGAACACAUCACAGGAUUUAGAGUUGAAAAAAAAUAAAAGGUGACAUAUACAAAUACAUAUAAUUGAUCUUGUUUGUGUCCCUUACAUAUCAAAUCUGUUUAUCUCUUGGCCAUUAGGUACAAAGAAGCAUCCCAGUUAUCAUUCUAAGGGCCGCAACAGAACAAGAGCGUCCUUUGAUUUUGCAAACAGAAAGAAAAAGGUGGUAAAAUCAAGAACUAAUUGGAUGUAUUAGAUUAGAUUCUCAGGGCACAUUCACAUGAAUCAAAAGCAGACUCGAAAAACAAUGAAUUCAUCUUAGGAAAGAAGGUCAGUUAGGGUUACUCACCAGGACAGGAAAGGAUCAAAGGAUGAAAGGAAUAAGGAUAACACUUAGGGUAGGAACCAGUUUCGUGCUGAACCUAUCAAAAGGAGUGAUAACACAAUCGAUUCUAAAUGGGCCUCUCAUUACACAUUGGAAUUUAGCAGUCAGCUAGACUAUGCAGGCAAACAAAUAAUCCCUGCCUCUAGCGAGAUUACGAUUCUCAAAGCACCAGACUGAGCCUCCACAUUUUCUAAAAAAAUAAGGAAGGAAAUCGUAACUCGUAAGCAUCCUGUUCUACGACCGCGCCACGCUUCUGGACCGGACACAUAGAUGGGCAGGCAUAAACCCUAGAAACAUAACUCUGUCAGCCAGAGGGAGCAGGGGAUUCAAUUUUGACAUACGUGGGGAGGUGUCAGGCACGACGAGGGCGAUGCCGUGGGCGGCGGCGGCGCGCUGGGCGCCGGACUUCAUGAUGAAAUUCUCGUCGUUGCAGGUGAGGCCCGAGAGCCAGUACAGCACCUGCAAAGCAUCAAUACGACACCGCGUCACAUUCCGCGGCACAGAUUAGCCCAGAGAGAGAGAGCGGGAGGACAGGGGAGCGCGGGCGGCGGCGCACUCACGGGUAUGUUGGACGCCGGGGACGGGGGCAUGUAGAUGGAGAAGGUCAUGGCGCAGCCGAGGGUGGCGCCACGAGACGCGUUCACCAAACCCUCGUGGCGCAGAGUCCGUCCGUGUCGCUGGAACUAACCCGAGCGUUGUCAUAUCCAGGAGCCGAGCGGCGUCGGAGCCGAGCCGCUGGACCAGACGCGCGAUUGCUUCCGUUGGAUUUGAAGCGGCCGACGCGUGGAGGCCGAGCGGACGGGUGUGCACCGGAUGCAUGGGUUCGCUGGAACAGGGCCCCCAAAUUGGAGAGGAGCCCACCAACCAGAAUGAUUUUUAUAGGCAGCGCAGGGCCAGGUGCCAGGUCUCGCAGAACGUCAGCCGCCGCCAGUACGUACUCCAUCGGCCUCCUGAUCCCAUCGACCACGCGCCGCCGAUGGCUUCUUCGCCGACGACGGUGAGGGAGGUGGCGAGCGAGGGAGUGGCUGCGCCCACGGCGCCGGAGGCGGCGAGACAAGGGGAGGUGAAGCGGUCUUCGCCGACCGCAUGGGAGACGGCCAUGCUGCCGCUCAGCAUGGUCGCCGUUCAGGUGAUCGUCGUGGGGAUGUUGCUGCUCUCGAAGCUCACUCUCGGUGCUGGAAUGAGCCCCUUCGUCAUCCUUGUGUACCGCAACAUGAUCGCCGCAGCCGCCGUCGCCCCUCUCGCCGUCUACUUCGAGAGGUACGUGUUCCUUUCUCUUUUCUUUUCUUUUUUUCCUCGCCCACCUUGAAAGUAUUCAAGGGUAUUCAUUCAGUUGAAUACCUUUUUUUGCGAAAAAGAUCUAAUCAUAUAAAUUGCGGUAUACUUCCUCCGUCACAUAAAGAUCAUUUCCAGUCUUAAUUUUGUUUUUGUUUUUGUUUUUGUGCUUCUUCUUUUGCCGAGGCGGCGAGGCCCAUCUUGAAAGUAUUCAAGGGUAUUCGGGUUGAGUGCUCUUUUUUUUUGCGAAAAGUCACAGGCUCGACUCGACGAGAAAAUCCAUCAGGCGGCUUUGCGUCUAGAGGAUCCAGAUGUGGGAGGAGGACGAGAUCAGGGCGGCAAUCAGAUCCUGAUGGCGUCCCCUUCCUGGCCAUACUCGCCACAAAUACUCCCUUGGCUGCACUAUCCCUUAAACCCAUCAAUGCCGAUGUGCAAUCCCACAACAGCCCAAACCAUAUAUAAGUCUCAGCUACUGCCCAAAUUCUUGCCAGCCUCUACCUCAUUAAACCACAGUUGCAAACAUUGGGUAGAUUGAAAGACCUCACAGGAGUCCACUCUGGUUGACACAUGUUGCUAAGUGUGAGAUCUGGCUACGCAUGGGCAUGCAUGGGUGGCACCAAGAUUACUUUUUCCAAAAGGUUACCAAGAGCUUUGUCAGCUCUUGUCGAAAGUAUAUUAGAAGAAGAAGAGAAAGAGGUCAAACGCUCCAGGCUCUCUUCCUGGCAUUCUACAUUGAAUCUAAGUUACCAAAUUUUUCACUUGAAUCUAUACUCUAUAUGUUGUAUGCUGGACAAUAUAAUUACCAUGAACCGUAUUUUCUUUUGGUAGCUAAUUAAAGUUGACACCUCAGUUGUAAAUUAUUAGCACAGGGCCUACAAUAGUUAGGGACUCAUAAUUUAUUUCAUGUUUUUGUUGCAGGGAAAUUUGGAAAGAGAUAAACUGGUCUGUAUGCUGCUGGAUUUUUGCAAAUGCUGCGUUUGGGUGAGCACUCGAACUCAUCAGUAAUGUUUUCUGAACUCAGCUUGUUAGUCCGUACGGUUGUAUGUAUAUUCUCUGUUAUGGUCCAAUACUUUAUACAAUUUCCUUAGGAAACCGAACCAGUUUCAUUAGUAGCUGAUAUAACUAGUACAUUACAAGGACGCAGUGCAUCUCUUUCAAGCGUGUACAUACCUUGUUUCUUGCCUCUAAUAUUGCAGAGACGUCCUGGCAAUGGGCCUGUAUUUCUACGGGCUGCGGACGACCAGCGCUGCUUACUCUUCUAUCUUCCUCAACCUGAUCCCAAUUGCCACCUUCGUCACUGCGAUAGUGCUACGGUAUGUAUGAUCAAUAAUUCUCAACGUGAUUACACAGUGUGAUUGCGUUUAACGUGUCUGUGUGUUGAUCUCCGUUUAGGGCUGAGAAUCUAGCACUGGGACAGUGGCCAGGAAAGAUGAAGCUGCUUGGCGCGCUGCUCUGCGUCGGCGGAACCAUGCUGGUAAGCCUGCUGAAAGGCCCGCCGCUGCAUCUUUGGCCCACCAACCUGCUCGGGUACUCCCAGGCACCUGCAGCCAACGCGACGGGUGCUCACCACAACAUGGUGGUAGGUACCCUCUGGUUGUGUGGCAGCUGCAUGAGCUAUGCACUCUACUUCAUCGUCCAGGUAAUACAAACCGCUACAGUCUUUUUCCUUAUUACCAUUUGGACGGCUAAAAAAAAAACCUAUCAGGAAAGGCUUGUGAAGGUGUUCCCGUCAACCUAUUGGAUGACGUCGCUCACGUCGCUGGUGGGGAGUAUUCAGGCCUUGGUGGUGGGUGUGUUCCUCGUCCGUGACAGAGCGGAAUGGAAGCUCCACUGGAACCUGGAGCUCCUGACUGUCGUGUAUUCGGUACGAGCUGGUCUAUUCGGUAUCUCGUACCUUAAUUAUUACAGAGUUUUAACCCCUUUUUUUUUUGUGAUGAUCAGGGUGUACUCAACACCGGCCUCGCGUUUCUGCUGCUCUCGUGGGUGAUCCGCCGGAGUGGACCCAUCUACCCGACCAUGUUCAACUCAGUUUGCUUGGUUAUGACCACUGUUCUCGACUCGGUCCUCCUUGGCACCCAGAUCUACCUUGGGAGGUGAGCAGCGAGUCUACUAGCUCUCUACACACGACUGUUUGAUCAUGGAUUUUAGCAACACUUAUAUCUGCAUGUGCAGCGUUCUCGGGACAGUCAUAAUCGUGGUGGGAAUGUAUGCGUUCCUUUGGGGCAAGGGUACCGAGCUCAAGCGCGCCGCGAUGGCGAAGGCAUCACCGACCCAGGAGGCGUAGCAGGACCAGCUGAAAGGUGGACUAGGAGUAGGAUAAUACCCGUAGUCUUUGCCGCUUGUCAUGGUUGAUACAGUAACGUAUUGUAUGAGUUGCUGUAAACUGAUUGGAGACCAAGCACCUCGGUGGUUACUCUUCCUUGCCCGUAGGUUGGACUUCUUCUCGAUACUGUACCUCCUUGUGUUAAGUGGAAUCUCAAGAAAUAAUGGGCGCAUAUAUGCCAGAGCCCAGAGGAAUUGGGCACAACAACUCCGAGCAUUGUUAUUGGAAAACAUUCAGUUUGAUGUAGGCAAGGAUGGAAGCAGAGCAUUGUUAUUGGAAAGCUCUUGGUAAGCUGUUUGGUUCCAGGAGAAUUUCUUUGUUCACAGUUCACACUAUAUGUAUACACACACCUGAUUUUUCUAGGAAGGUAAGAACGCUAGAACGGUAUGUAGGGGCAAAACUGGCCAUGUGCAUCCAGGAUUGUCUAGUGAUUGCAAUGUGCUCCGUUCAAGGUGGAUGUAGUGAAGUUCAGCUGUAGCCCUGCUAAUGGGGCUGAGCCCGCCCCUACCCGCAGCAGCCGAGAUAAUGGAUGCUCGGAAGAAUACGUGAGCUCGGUCGGUCGGUCGGAAGCUAGGUAAACCACAUUUGCUUCCGUUGCGACGCUGGCUUGCAGAGUUAAGUCUUCUUCUCCAACCCAGGGAGGAGGUCUCCCUUCCUUUCCUUGUCCCAGAUUCCAUUCCAUUCCUUCCUAUCUUUCCUUCCAUCCUUCCUGUUUCUCCUUCUCUUGCAAACAUGCUGGCCAAGCCACCUCACCUGUGUGCCAACUAAGGUCUUAAAUCUCCGAGUAUAGCUGUCGAGCUAUAGCCGGGUAUAGCUGUUUGAGGCUCAUCAAACUAUUUGUGUUUAUGUACAACUUAGCGGCUAUAACCUCAUUUAACUCCGCUAUAACUGUUUUAGAGGUCAUCCGCUAAAUAGUUUUAGCCGGAGAUUUAAAACCUUGGUGCCAACACAUCGUAGCAUGUACUUUCUUUUCGUACCCGCGUUAGGACUUAGGCACUUCACCUGCUCAGUACCACAACCUGCAUCCCUCAAACAUGAUACGAUGCUCAAACAAUACAAACCGAAAUAACCUUGCAGGCUUGGGCACAAGAAAUAAAAAGUACUAGAGUUUCAUGCAGCAAUAAUGUAUGCACGAGAAGCAUCACACAACAGCAGAUGCUUUCAGUUUCAGCACCAUGUUAUUACAGGCUAAGAAACAAAAGGCUAAGGCUGCAGUUAUCGGAUUUCUAAUGCAGCAACUGCUCGUACGCUAACUAAGCAGGGCCAAUUGUUACGCCCCAGGAUCCAGCUACUGGAUCCCGACUCGUCGAAUUCAUCGCACCAUCUACCAGCGCCCCCCCAGGACAAACUGAUGACUGCACGGCUGCUCCAUGAAUUUGUCCCGUCAGUCAUCCAGGUUCACUCCGUAGCGGUGAGCCAGGUUCUUGAUGGCUCCAUUCUGCAUCACCAGGUCCAGCAUUUCGUACUUCUUGCAGUUCGCAUCAAGAGCUUCCUGCUGCUGCUUUGCUAGUUCCUUCUCCUCGUCCAAUAGAUUCUGAGACGGUUAAAACAGCAGCACCAUGUCAGUAUUUUCAUGUCUAAUUUUCAAAUGAAGAACAAAGUAACAGCAUCCACCAACUAUCAAUAUUGUAGUUAGGUGCAAACACAGUACUUGGACAUGCACCAAUCUGGCAGGUAUGCAUAUUUUUCAUAUAAUUUAAGGAUCUCUGAUUAAAGGAAUUAACAAACACCCAGUGUAUUGGACAAGUGUAUUAAAAGUAAAGCAUAUCCAUUUGCGCACAUAUACUCCAGGCUGACAAACCAUACAUCACUCCAGAAUGGAUAUUAUUUCCAUAUAGGCAUGUAACUUCCCCAAUUGUUCCAUUCUAGGAUUAUAAAUGAAAAACACUAGGUCCCACUCUUUCAUGUUUAGCCCGAUGUUCUUAAGGUGGUAAUGCAAUUUGCAGUGACUCGCCGCCUUCUUAUCACCUAGGCGAUAAACGUAAUGUGGUAAGGCAGUCGGGGCGACAGCCAUACUCACACAUAUUAGACAACAAAAAUCAAAAUAGCUUACUAAAGCCCAAUCCAAGCUACAGCCCAUAAAGCAUCCCUUCCCGUGCCCUAGUCUCCCAAUGCCAUCCACAGCAUGUCACCUUUCUCCUUAAGAUUUGGGGACAACUUGCCCCUAGCAAGCGCCUUGUCGCUUAAGUGACCACUAGGCGUGUUCAGUCUAACCAUUGAAAUAAACAGAGCAAACAGUAAAACCAACUUUUAAUGGUACACAAAGGCAUAUCAACAUAACAUGCAUAAUUUUGCAGGACUUAAUGCGCUAGCAUAGCAAAGCUUGACAGACUGCAGUCACAAGGCAACUAACAAGUUUACCUUUAUGAGAGCCAUGUUCUCUGACUCUUGCUUCUUUGCAAGGUUUUUCAGUUUCUUCAUUGUCUCACACUCGUCAUCUCCUUGUUUUACCCAGCGGAACUCUUUCUUGAGGCCAGGGCAGGGAGGUCGAUCCCUGAACAUCUCAGCCUUUGCAUGGGUAGCUUUUACAGGCCUUGGCAUCCCACCAAUUAUGAAUGGGAAAUCAGUCAUCAACUCGACAGCAG